Molecule: ribosomal RNA, 58 nt
Filed under: Frullania chevalieri
Lineage: Eukaryota; Viridiplantae; Streptophyta; Jungermanniopsida; Porellales; Frullaniaceae
Also listed under: 2 other names
Description: partial 26S ribosomal RNA
Rfam family: Eukaryotic large subunit ribosomal RNA
Source: RNAcentral
UGGACCUCAGAUCAGGCAAGAUCACCCGCUGAGUUUAAGCAUAUCACUAAGCGGAGGA